CUUCAUCCCCAGCAUUGCAGACAGGAGAAUACCAGACCAAUUGACUCAAAUUCAGUGGGUCAAGACAGAUCAACUCAAGUUCAAUGAUAGUCAUACUUCCAUGUCCCCUUGAUCAUUCCUCACAUCAGUGUUUUAUAGCCAGAUGCUAGUAGCUGACAACAAAAUAACCAUCCACUCCCUCAAUCUCAAUUACUUGAAAGCAUUCGUUGAACCAGAAACACACAUAAACUAGGUUCCUAGGGAUGAGCCUGCUGACUGGUUAUAGAAAUGAUGAAAGGGGCUUCUGACAAACAGUAACAGUCCAUGUUGGCUUCCCAUGCAGUUAAAACCAGACUCCAGGAAUUUUCAAUACAGGAACAAGAUAAAUGAAAAUAAUGAUGGUCGAUUAUUUUCCUAAGCAGGGAGAGUUGGAAAGCCUCCUAUUUUAGCAGGUAAACAUUUUUGCCAGCUGCAUCAAUAUACUGUGCCACCUAAAGAUACAAUUGGUCUCCUUUUUGCUAUUAUUUUAGGUUUUUAAAGGAUCUUUUGAAUAAUCCUAUAGCCCUGAGUUUUUCUCCAUAGACUUAAUACUUCUGUGAUGAAAAGGAUAGAUAGCACUGUGGUUUAAAUCCUAGGGCCUAUAGACAGUUACACUACAAUUCAAAUCCCAGCGCAAUCACUUGCACGUUGCAUGGCCUUGGGCAAGAUUCCUAACA
Lutra lutra (Eurasian river otter) is the source of this 695-nucleotide long non-coding RNA. RefSeq lists it as uncharacterized. Lineage: Eukaryota; Metazoa; Chordata; Mammalia; Carnivora; Mustelidae. The transcript has 3 exons. The record is from RefSeq and is a predicted model, not a curated record.